ACCUUCUUCUUCCAUCUCCCUCACCAAAGCUUCAGCUUUAUCCAUAUUACAUGUUUGACACUGAGAAUAAAUUAUGUUCCCAUAAAUGAUUGUAUUCAUAUUUGAAAGUCUCUCUUUGGCCUCCUUAAACCAGUGAUCUGCAGCUUGAGCAUCGCCGAUUUUGGCAAAUCCCCCCACAAUUAUGCUAUAAGUCACCAAACUCAUUUCAAUUCCCUCUUCUUUCAUUUUCCUAACACAAGACAAUGCUUCUUCCAUGUCUCUACCAACUGCAUAAGCGUGAAUAAGGCUUGUGUAGACAUGUGAUGUUGGCUCUAUUCCCCUUGCUCUCAUGCUCUCAAAUGUUUGCCGAGCACGAUGCAUAUCCCCUCGCCUUGCAUAAUAG
RNAcentral lists this unclassified non-coding RNA (382 nucleotides) under Hevea brasiliensis (rubber tree). Lineage: Eukaryota; Viridiplantae; Streptophyta; Magnoliopsida; Malpighiales; Euphorbiaceae. The record is from RNAcentral.